CCGGCACGGGUGAGUAACACGUAUCCAACCUGCCGUCUACUCUUGGACAGCCUCUGAAAGGAAGAUUAAUACAAGAUGGCAUCAUGAGUCCGCAUGUUCACAUGAUUAAAGGUAUUCCGGUAGACGAUGGGGAUGCGUUCCAUUAGAUAGUAGGCGGGGUAACGGCCCACCUAGUCUUCGAUGGAUAGGGGUUCUGAGAGGAAGGUCCCCCACAUUGGAACUGAGACACGGUCCAA
This 236-nucleotide ribosomal RNA is filed under the name uncultured bacterium. RNAcentral describes it as "partial 16S ribosomal RNA". It matches the Rfam family "Bacterial small subunit ribosomal RNA", at positions 100 to 334 of the family's 1533-position model. The record is from RNAcentral.